This 310-nucleotide small nuclear RNA is filed under the name Myotis davidii. RNAcentral's name for it is "7SK RNA". It matches the Rfam family "7SK RNA". From Rfam's summary of the family: 7SK was discovered as an abundant small nuclear RNA in the mid-70s but a possible function has only recently been suggested. Two independent studies have found that 7SK RNA binds the CDK9/cyclin T complex (known as elongation factor P-TEFb). The record is from Rfam by way of RNAcentral. Lineage: Eukaryota; Metazoa; Chordata; Mammalia; Chiroptera; Vespertilionidae.
GGGUGCGAGGGCGAUCUGGCUGUGACAUCUGUCACCCCAUUGAUGGCCAGGGUUGAUUCGGCUGAUCUGGCGGGCCAGGCGGUGUCCCCUCCUCCCUCACCGACCCACGUGCGUCGCUCCCGAAGCUGUGCACUCGGUGGAAGAGGUGGAGGAGGAGGACUUCCCCCCAGAGGGAGGACCGGUCUCCGGUCAAGGGCGUACGAGUAGCUGCGCUCCCCGCUCUAACCUCCCAGCAAGCUCUCGAAGGGCCGAGGGCAGGCGCCCUGUGUGUGUUCCCUCAGAGCGGCCUGUUUUUAUUUUGGCAGAACAC